This 338-nucleotide small nuclear RNA is filed under the name Cricetulus griseus (Chinese hamster). Its description in RNAcentral is "7SK RNA (ENSCGRG00001008407.1)". It matches the Rfam family "7SK RNA". From Rfam's summary of the family: 7SK was discovered as an abundant small nuclear RNA in the mid-70s but a possible function has only recently been suggested. Two independent studies have found that 7SK RNA binds the CDK9/cyclin T complex (known as elongation factor P-TEFb). P-TEFb activates transcription by phosphorylating the C-terminal domain of RNA polymerase II. Lineage: Eukaryota; Metazoa; Chordata; Mammalia; Rodentia; Cricetidae. The record is from RNAcentral.
GUAUGGUUCAACUUCUGUAAAAAUCUGUCACCCCACUGAUUGUCAGGGUCAAUUCCACCCAUCUGGCUCACUAGAUGACUGUCCCCUUUUUUCCCUCAACACUCCAUAUACAACCUUUCCCAAUAUAAGGCCUGAUGCAAAACAGUAACCCUGCCCAUAGAGGAGGCCUUUUCUUGGGUCAAAGGUAUAUGAAUAAGUGCAUUCCCAAGCUAGGACCUCCAAACAAGCUCUCCAGAUCCACUUUCAGAACGGCGGGGGGGGGGGGGGGGGGGGGGGUGUCAAGCUUCCAGGACUCCAAACUCAUUCAAAUGAGGCCCUGUGUGAAGAAGUCUCUCUGA